This 407-nucleotide ribosomal RNA is filed under the name uncultured prokaryote. RNAcentral describes it as "bacterial SSU rRNA". It matches the Rfam family "Bacterial small subunit ribosomal RNA", at positions 355 to 776 of the family's 1533-position model. RNAcentral also lists the same sequence under 1 other name. The record is from RNAcentral.
UGGGGAAUAUUGGGCAAUGGGCGCAAGCCUGACCCAGCAACGCCGCGUGAAGGAAGAAGGUUUUCGGAUUGUAAACUUCUGUCCUUGGUGACGAAGAAAGUGACGGUAGCCAAGGAGGAAGCCCCGGCUAACUACGUGCCAGCAGCCGCGGUAAUACGUAGGGGGCAAGCGUUGUCCGGAAUGACUGGGCGUAAAGGGCGUGUAGGCGGCUCUUUAAGUGUGAAGUGAAAGUCCUGCUUUCAAGGUGGGAACUGCUUUGCAAACUGGAGAGCUUGAGUGCGGAAGAGGUAAGUGGAAUUCCCAGUGUAGCGGUGAAAUGCGUAGAGAUUGGGAGGAACACCAGUGGCGAAGGCGACUUACUGGGCCGCAACUGACGCUGAGGCGCGAAAGCGUGGGGAGCGAACAGG